Molecule: ribosomal RNA, 448 nt
Filed under: uncultured bacterium
Lineage: Bacteria
Description: bacterial SSU rRNA
Rfam family: Bacterial small subunit ribosomal RNA
Source: RNAcentral
UCCAGACUCCUACGGGAGGCAGCAGUGGGGAAUAUUGCACAAUGGGGGAAACCCUGAUGCAGCGACGCCGCGUGAGUGAAGAAGUAUUUCGGUAUGUAAAGCUCUAUCAGCAGGAACGAGACAAGACGGCACCUGACUAAGAAGCCCCGGCUAACUACGUGCCAGCAGCCGCGGUAAUACGUAGGGGGCAAGCGUUAUCCGGAUUUACUGGGUGUAAAGGGAGCGUAGACGGCUGUGCAAGCCAGAUGUGAAAGCCCGGGGCUCAACCCCGGGACUGCAUUUGGAACUGUGUGGCUGGAGUGUCGGAGAGGCAGGCGGAAUUCCUAGUGUAGUGGUGAAAUGCGUAGAUAUUAGGAGGAACACCAGUGGCGAAGGCGGCCUGCUGGACGAUGACUGACGUUGAGGCUCGAAAGCGUGGGGAGCAAACAGGAUUAGAUACCCCUGUAAC